UUUUAAAAGUUGAGUAGUUUCAGAGCAUGACCAAGACCAAGACUGUAUCUUGAUACACUUUGGCUGAAGUUUUCACUCCUUUUUUACAAAAAUGUAGUUUUGUGACUCCCUGAUAAGACACGCCCGCACCAAACCAUCACCGACGCAGGAUGAUGAUCACGUUUUACCUUUCCGAGCACUUGAGCAACUUCUUCAAAACUGUGAGCGUACACUUUAUCAUUUUUCUUAUUGUAGUAUUCUUCAAUCGUGAUAAUUUUUUCAUCGGUAAAGAGGAUAUUUCUUUGCCGUUCACCUGCGACAGAAGGCGUAUUGAUCGAUCCACUCUCUUUAAUUAUAAAUAUUGAUUUAGGGCAUGUCCUGUAUAUACAGAUACGAUAAGUACCAAGUUUCGAGUCUUGUUUUAUAAUACUCGACAGAGUCCUAUCGGGAAUCCUCUUUUUUUAUUUUUUAUUGCCCGUGUAUGGACGAGCAAAGCCGCUGCCUACCGUUAAGUACCCUCCACAAGCCUCGUUUGAAGAAGGACAUGUCAUAGCGCUCGGGAAAUACCGUGGAGGGGAGCUCAUUCCAAAGCCGGGUGGUACGGGGCAAGAAAGAUCUCUGGAAGCACACUGUGGAUGAACGCAGUGGCUCCAGGUAGUAUGGAUGAACUUUUCUCCGGUGGCGGGCGGUGCGAUGGUACAUACGGUUCAAAAUACAAAGGGAACCGAAGUCCGUCCACAGACCCAGUUGCUCCAAACAAUCCGUGAAUAGGAUUAUUAACAAUCCCAACGGCUCUCUUCUGUAUGGAGUCAAAUGGAAGAAGCUGGUAUUCUUUUAUUUUAUUUUUUUAUUCUUAUUUUAAUCUUUUAUUCUUCUGAUAUUCUUCAUUUCUCGCGAUAAGGUUUUUUGCUUCCUAAUGGGGUUUCGACGAAUUCUGGCUUUAACAGCAUUAACAGCCUUUGUAGUUCUAGCAGCACGCGACCUCCCCGAUCUUUUCUGGUCUUCAACAGACGAAGUGUUGUUGUAUCUGUUGAUAGUACGAUAUACGAACAUACGGCUGAUACCAAGCUUUUGAAGUGUCUGGAAUAUGACCGACGGCUCCAUACCCACUUUGUGCAAGGCGAUCACUGCAAUCUUAUUUUCUUUAACACCCCACUCCAUAUUGUAAUUUGAUAAUGUACACGAAAAGAUAUGUGAAAUGGCGCCAAAUUAAAAGAAGUUUUUAAAAUAAUAUACGUGUUCCAAAUUCAAAAUAAUUAACAAGUUGAAAAAACGAAAAAGUUUUUAUGUAACAGUAUUUAUGGACAGACUAGGUAUAUUUAUGAAAUUACUGAUCGCAGAGGAUAGUGUAAAAAUUAGGCUAUUGCAAGCCCGCAUGGAUAAGUACAAUCGUCCUGCCUAUUGCUGUCGUUAAACAGACACGUGUUUUAGUUUGAAAGUUGAGACAGACUUCAUAAAGUGGGCCAUGAUACCUAUUUGGUACCAAUCGUGUGAAUUUUACAAAAUACAUCAGAAAUCACAAUCCAUUUUAAUAAAAUAAUUUACUUGAAACGCUAAAGCAAAUAAUAACUAUUUACAAUUAUAUAGUACAAAGUCAUAAAUCGUGACUAAUAUCUUGUUGGCACGUUAUUACGUGCUAGAUUUAAAUCAAACUACCUACUAUGAACUUGUAUUCGAUACUGUAUGCAAUAAAAAUAUAAUUGUGUUGUAUUUUUAAUGUUUAUCAAGCGAGAAAUAAUUAUAAAAUAUUUACUUUCAAAAUAUUAAUAAUUAAUUGCGAGUUGAGUUUUAUUAAAUUAAUAGCGACCCGCCCUCGCUUCGCUUCGGAAACAUUAAAUUUUAUUAUUGACAGCUGAGUCCCGCGAUGUAACCCGCGGUUAUUGUCGUACCGCGGGUGACGCCGCGAGGCGAAGCUAGUCUAAAAAAAGUAGCCUAAGUUACUCAAGAGAUUACAUACAAGAUGAUGAAGCUACUCUUUAUAUCAUCAGCUACCUAUCAGUGAAAGUCCCGUCAAAAUCGGUCCAGCCGUUCCAGAGAUUAGCCGGAACAAACAGACAGACAGGCAAAAAUUGUAAAAAAUGUUAUUUUGGUGUAUGUGCCGUAUAUAUAUAUUCAUAUGCAUAUAGUAAAGAGCGCUAUUAUUUAAAACAGACACACCAAUUUUAUUUAUAUGUAUAGAUAAUUCACCAAUGUCAUAAGAUCUCAGGCAUUUAAAUAGUUGAAUAAAAAUUUUAUAAAAUAAAAUAGUUGAAGUUGAAAGAAAAGUGGAAGAAGUUGAAAGUUGAAUAAAAUAGUUAUAAAAAAACAAAAAUCAAGAAAGAGACAUUUUUUAUCACAGUCAACUAAUCUAAUUCUUUUCCUCUCCUUAUUCUUGUACAAACACAAAGAGUUACUAGCAGUUCAUAAAGGUGAAAACAACAUUAAAUUCAGCAAACAAAAGAAAUUCUCGUUAAAAUCCUCUAAGGAAACUAAUAAAAGUUGUUAAACUAUAACUAAGACUUAAAAUUAGCUACAUUUUAUGAAUACGUAACUUCCAUAAUCUUUAAGACAUUUUUUAGUUUUUGAUGUAGGUAUAUAAACAAAGUGAAUAAGUAGGUACGUAAUCAAAACAAAUACAGUAGCAACCUUAUGCUUAAACAAAACCGGAUAAACCUGAACGAAUAAAGGAAAGAAAGGACAUCCGAAACUGAGCGGAGCUAAUGAGCUCCUCAUAAAUAGAUUCAUGUUUAAUAUAUUAGGAGUCAGCUGCAUUUUUUCGGCUUUCUUUGCGACUAGGGAACGCGCGAGACUAUUUACAGGGGCUUAAGUUAAGCAGUUACACUUUAAAAUGAACGGUCUUGGCUUCCAGACAGUUUCUUAAAUUGGUAUACCGACUCAGGAACUGUCUUCAGCCCUUUAAGCCUUAAAUAUUGUAAAAUAUAGUAAGUAGUACUUGAUACUUAAUUUUAUUUUUAUGCGUAUACGAUGGUAAACUUUGCUUUAAUUUAUUGUACUAUUUAUGUAAUCAAAAUGAGCUCCUUUGAGUCAUUUCACAUAAAUUCGUAGCGUAUGUUUGAAUAUCUUAAAAAAAUACGGUCUCGUGUGAGAGAAUCGUUUGUGAUAUAAAAUGCAACACUUGUCGAUACGCAAAGCGAUUAGGUAUGAAUUAUGUAAAGAUCUGUCCAGCUGCCGACUUCAACUGAUACACAAUGAACAUACGAAAUUCGUACAAGCUGCUUACGAAAGCGACACUUCAAUACAAACAUUUCAAAAUGGUAUUCAAUAAAUUUAUUUACGUACGAAUAACUAAAACGAGCACUCCAGAUCCCUUCCCAAAUUAUAAAUAUGUCUUGUUUAAAGCUAUUUUUUGUGUGAACGAAAUGUAGUAAAGCUGUUUAAGGUUUAUUUUCAGUUUUUAAUUGCAUAGAGUAAUCAUCAUCAUGCCUAUUUCCGUAGAGAAGGAACCACGUGAUCCGGUCUGAAGGAUGUAAUUUAAAUGGGAUUUAAAUCUUAUGUUUCAAGGAGGGCGGCGGUGUUUACCCAUCGACGUUACUAAAAAUGCGGCUGAGGUCGCAAUUUAUGUCUCUCGCGGGAGACGAAGAGUAAUGUCGGUGUAGGGCGAAAAGAGGAAAAAAACCAGUCGCCGACCCAACAAGUUCAGCCAAUUAUAACUGACAAGAGGCGCAGGCGCGGCCGCUCACGAAGCAACAUAUAUUUAACUACACUUUUUCCAUUAUUCCACGCUAUUUAAACAGGAUGUGUAAUUUUGAUUCUAAUUAUUUAACGGAUGAACCUUUCGAUGGUAUUCUGUGGACGAGUGAAGCGUUUUAAUUAUUUCGAAAUACUAGAUAAAAAACGAGGACGUACGUUCGAAAAUUUAAAAAGUGACUUGGAAUGAAUCAUGGCGUGCGAUCCCGAAGAAAUAUUACACCGAAGCUGGCACCAUAAAGCAAACGGCGUGGCACAAGCGAUACAACGAUAGCGACACUGCUAGCCCCGACAGAACUCGCCUGUCUACCUAAAAUCUACAGGCCGUUCCGAAAACAAAACAUGUUUUUAAUAAAUCUAUAGUUAUUAGUGGCUAUCACACUCCAUUGAUUGGUUGGUCGAGCCUAAUACGUGAGACGCCCGGUUUAUAUAUAUGUUUAUACCUUCUAGUUUAAUUAAUCUAAGGGCUGGUACCGAUUUUUAUAAACAACUAUGAAAACAAAAUCUGCUCUACAUGAUCAAGAGAUAAUAAAUUAAAUUAAACACGCAAAAUUCAUAAGUAUAUUAAGUUUCCGAUAGAACCACAUUUCGUUUGAUGAGCAGGAUGUAUAUCUGUCAUCGUACGUAAAAAUAAAUUCCGGAUAGAUUAGUUCACGAUUCUGCUAUAAAAUUAGUCUCGAUUAAUAUCCUAGCUAUUCUAUUGGAAUUGCGAUUUUGUUUUCGUAAUAUAUCGGAGGAUAUGGUGUACUCUAUGGAUAGGGUCUGUUGUUCGAGUGAUCACUUAAUACUACGAUUAUAAUCGCUUACAAGCUAUUGUUUCAAUAAAAUAUUGCUAUAAUAAAUAUUGCCACUAUCAUCAUAAUCAGCCUAAUCGUCCACUGCUGGACCUCUCCCAAUUUGUGCCACUGAGCAACACUACAAUCUAAUUUAAGACAAUAUUGUGCUAGCAUUUCAAAAAUGUCGAAAAAUAGCACCUUAGUCGUCCGCGAUGACGACGAAAACUGUGAAGUGUUGCAAGCUUCGGAAAUUAUAUAAUUACAACAAAUAACGCGAGAUUAAACCGUAAAAGUAUUUUUUAUUAUGUUUUCCACUCGCGAAAACCGAAGAAAAUACCACUUGCCACCAAAUGCUUGUCAUUCUACAACUUUACUUUUAUCUUAAUGAAAACAUCCGCUUUUUCACAUAAUGUUACCUCCUUAUUGAGGAUCGUGAUCGCUACGUGAACUAAUCCCUAGCGGAUUUUGUCUGUCCAUCGGGUCUGAUCUCUUCCCUUUAACCCUUGCCGUAAUUAUUCAUUAUAAAAGACCAUAUCUCCUGGCAAAAUACUUAAACCCAAUUUUAUGUGGCACAUCACAGUACAUUUCGAAUUAUAUAAAGUUAAUUGUUGUUUGUACAAAAAACGUAAAGGUAAAUUGAAUUUAUAAAAGUAGGUACAUAUGCAUAUCUACUGAAUAAAAACUACAUAUUUGGCUUUAUGUCAACAUUGGACCUUCCGUGGAUUAUAUAAACUGUCGCCAGCACAGCUAUGUACACAGGUAUACCUACUAUUAUUUACCUAACCGAUUACAAUAACAAUUGAUUUACAAAAUUACUUGUACAUUAUUGAGUUUACCUUAAGAUUGUUGCUAUGGAAUAUCAUGUUAACUAGGAAGAUUUAAAAAAAUGACACAAAUUUAUAGUAUCUAUAAAAGUUUACUGAAUAUAAUUAUCGUCAAAUGAUGUGACUGCAUUAAUUUAUGAUGCCAAUCAAUUAAGUUAAAAUUUUAUAACUUAAUCUAAUUAAAGAAAACUAAAAACUAUAGCUAAAAAACACCGCCGCACGCCACGUAAAAUGUACUAAUUAAUUAGAUAAGUGGCCAUCGAAGAUUCGAAAAUGAAGCCGCCUGUAUAUAACUCCCACAUAUAUUACUCACCAACACAGGGACGUAAUGAAGCAAUUAUAUAUCGAUAUUUUUAUGCAUAAGAUACUUGGCGGGUAUCGGGCCUGACCGCAUCGUUCAGAAAUAAAACAAAGCUUGAGGUUAUUGUUGGAACGGGUAGGUGUGCGUCUCGGUUAUCAAGCUUUUAACCAGACAUGCGACGCGACGCGACAUCGACAAUAUUUAUCACCUCACUUGCACACAACUCAUUCUUACUUCCCAAGCGGAAUAUCAAAUGAACUUAGGUACAUUAAAAGAAAAUAAGAUUUUUAUUAAAUUUGAGUGCAGGACAUAUUGUCUUUACGAAAUUACCUACCUACAUACUGAAAAAAAAUACCCUUAAUUAUUUAAUCUUAACAAUACAGAUGAAUAUUACAAAUACUAAUAGUGCUAAAAUGUGCUUACGCGCUAUCUUUUAUUAAGACUAUUUUUGAUCAACACUUUAAAACUCGGUUAAUAUAAAACACGCGACCGUCGCAGUCGCUUUGCAUGCGAUUAAUAUCGUCUAUUCCUUUCUUUCGCCCACUGUUGAUAAGAGGAGAGAUAAGGACGACUUGUACCGGUCGGAUGGAGACGUUUGCCAAGUACUUUAUGAGCGCUAAACCCUAACGUGUAUAUCGUUUUCGUUAUGCAUUUAUUCUUAUAUUUGAUAUAUACCACUUAUGUAAUAUAAUAAUAUUUGACUUUUUUCUCCGCACUGGCACAAGACGGAUAAUUUUCCAUGGCCCUUCCUUAAUUUUCCACAUCCAGAUAGUCUAAAUAAAAAUUGGCCUCUGUAAUGCUGUUAAAAUUGGCAUAAUUUGAAGAAAAGAAACUAAUUUAAACACGAAUGAAGUCAGCUGAGAAACUUAGGAAAAAAAUAUCGCAUUGUAGUCUUGUGUUCGGAUAAAACAAAAAAAAUAAAAUAAAGGAUAUCUGAAUUUAGUAUGUGUGCGUGUGGCAGUUCUUGGCCGAGUUUGUUCAACUUGUGUCUUCAGUUAACUCGUUCAGGUAUAUUUAUGUCUAAAAGCUUUAGUUCAGGCCGGUUACACUGACUUCCUUGACGGAUAUAAUUGUUUUACUAUUUACAACAUUGCUUUUUAAUAAAAAAACCUUUAAAGAAAAACUGUUUGUGAUUGUGUUUGUAAAUUUGUUAGUACUAAUAUUCACGUGGAAGGUUGCUCAUGCGAUUGACCGACCAUGUCAUGUCAGCAGCUGGCGGGUUGCUUGCAUGAUUGUACCAGGCUCACCACAAACCUGGAGAAGUGGCGAUUGCUUGUGAGGCGCAUAGCAUCUGCCCACAGCAGCGAUACUUAAUGAAGACCACGACCGCUCUGACAAGAGUGACAUGACAAAGGAGAAAGUUCGCAUACGUAAUUGAAAAAUUGAACUGAAAGAAAACAGUCCAAACUCGCCAAAGAACGUAACGAAAACAAAACAAAAACAUUGUAAUAUGAUUCUACAUAAAACUUUUACCUACUAUCGUUAAGAGCGCUGGAAUGAUUUUAUACACUGCGAUUUGAAUGAUUUACAGUUUAUUUGGGUAAAAAUAAGUACUCUACGUCUUAAUUAAAUGCUGUAUUUAUAGCGAUUUUCAUUCCAUGCUUCAUAGAUGUAAAUCGUACUUUUUAUUAUGCCUACUCGUGUUAAAAUAUCUACACGUGUUCGAAUUUAACAAUUUUAGCUGUCAAACAAACGGGGCUUUCAAUGCUUCGAAUUUAAAAAAUAAAACGUUUUAAGUGGCGUAACCUAAUUUCGUGGGAGAACGUUUUUCGCAUAACAGUUUGGUUUUUUGCAUGCGCAUCUAUAAUAAGAGCUCUUAUUAUUUACAAUAGAUUAUAAUACAUAGAAAUUAUAUUUACGAUGGUUCUCUUGAUAAACAGUAUUUACUAUUUAUUGACAGAAGAAUCUGAAUCUAAAUAGGUUUAGAGAAAAGUCGAUAUUCGUGUGUUACAUUUUGAGACAUAAAGCGUUCUUAUUUCUACAAAGACGAUGAACAGCAACCGUUGUCAUCAGAUAGUAAGAACGACAUAUUUUUAAAAGUAAAAUACACACAUUGGGAAAUAAACAUAAAAUACCUAUGCAGACUAUAAUAUAUGCUCUACUACUAAGUAUAUAUUAUUUAUAGAACCAAAGAAUCAAUUAAUAAUCCAUAAAAUAAUCAAUAAUCAGUCGGCUAUUCAUUCUAAAAAAUAAGUAUCAAAACAAUCAACAUUCGUGGGUCCGUAAUAUAUCCGCAUUUCGCUCGCUUUUGGCUCUGAUAAGACGGCCGAAUAGUGGCUCGACAUUUAUCUUUUAGAUUAAUGAGCCAAUUUUCUUAGUUGGCUAUAGAAAGAAUCGCUAGGUCGGCCUCGAAAGCCAUCAAGACCACUUAUGGGUUAACUUUGGGAUGUGAGAUAAUUUUAUUCCUCUGUGAAUUCGUUUGCAAAAAUGUUAUGUUGUUUAUUUUAACUUCACAAAAUAUAAAUUUACAUUUUUUACGUCUCAUAUUCAUUUCCCGAGAAAAGAAUAUGAGAGGUAAAAUUCAAAACAACAAUUAUAAGGACAAAAAUUCUUCCCCUGUCCCUCGAGUGGAAUACCGAGAAACAAAUUGGAUUAAAACGUCAAAGGUGAAAUAAAAACACGCAUAUACUUUAUCUCCCGCGAUGUCUGUGCAACAUCAAAAUUGCAACACCUCAAAAUUGAAGUUGCAAUUUUCAACGUCUUUCGUAGUAAAAAGGGGAUUACAAAGUCCAAAAUUCCACGAGAAAUAUAUUUUUCAUCAGCGAGUGUCAUGUGAACGCUCGGUGUAAUCGUAUUUGCAUUUAAAACGGUAAGUAAACAUAGAGUUGAGUAUUUUGUGAAUGGACGAGUCCGUGUUUAUGACUCGUUUUACGACCUGUUAAGCGAAGGAUCGCUCGUAAAAUAAAUCGUUUGAUGGUUAGUAGUUGCUCUAGUUGUUCUUUUUACAAAACAGGAUUUACUCGCAUACCUUCGUGUGUAAAAUGGCGAGUUUAAAACGGAAUCUCGCGUUGCAACUGUUCAGUUUGUAAGCAGUUUUUAUGCAAAACAAAUGAAGCAAUGUAAAGUUUAAUAAAAUGUAGUAUGUAUAGACGCAAAAGUUAUGUGGAAUAUGGAUACGUACCCGCUUUGUUUUCGCCCACAUAAAUCGGGCUUGUACAACGGGCCCGCUAACUUAUUUUUGUACGGAGGUACGCCAGGAUAGAUGGAUCCAAUUCCAAAUUAUGUCUAUCUUGGGAAUUAACGGUGGAGCGGGGAUUCCAGUUUAUCCAAAAAAGUGCGGGAAACACGGACGGUGGUGUAAAGGGGGAGGUACAAGAGGGAACGGAUGGAAGUUAUUUUGGAAUUAUGAUUCCGGAUGCGUCCUGUGAGCGGCGCGUGUUUCACGCCUCGUUUCGUUGUAAUAUCUACCGGUCGCAACUGUUCUACUUGCAAUCCUGAACUACUACGAAAUUACUGUACAGAUUGGCAUUCAAUACUGUGUUUAAAUGGAUGUGCCUUUUUGUUGAUGAAGCAAAGUGGCCCAAAAAAGAAAGCCAGCACUUUAUUUUGUCAUUAAUUACUCAUUAAUAAAUAAUAGGUUGUAAUAAAUAAACGUUCAACAUUGAAAAACUCAGGCUAGGUUUUAUUUUAUAUUAUAGAUAGAAGGAACGCAAAUACCAGAUAAGAAUAAAUAGGACGAGUAUUAACUACACAUCAAAAAGAUAUUGACUCAAAUCUCAAAUUUUGUUUCUCAAAAAGUUUAGGGGUCACACAUCACUUGACCAACGAGGUGCUCCAAUACCUGAAUUUUUUUUUGUUUCUUUUUAAAGGCUGAUCAGCACGCAUCCUAUCUGGUAAGGUCGCCGGUACUCAUAGCGCUGAGAACUUAAAGUUCUUGAACCUUCUUUUUCUAAAUUAUGAUUGAUAGGGCGAUAUUCUGAGAUUUAAAACGUAACGUGUCUACAUUUAAUAACAAGAUAGAAUCAUCCUAAAUUUAAUAAUCGUGUCAUAAUAAUUAGAAUAUUUAUUCGAAAAUAAAAAUACAUAAGUAACCUAGGGUGACAGUAUAAAACAGAACGCGCGUGUUCCGUACCUAAUCUCAUUCCCAUUUUGGUCCGAAAUUAAAACGUCUGCCCAAAAAUGCGGGACGUGUGUUUUAAUGGGGUGUCACCAGGGUUCUUAAGUAUUCUACCGGCCCACCCUAUAAUACCCAGUCUCCUUAGUCUGGCACGUCCCCCCUUGAUAUAUUAGUCCCAGUUCGUCGUACAUAAUUUUGCAGAGGGUGGUGCCCCCCUUGCUCCCUCGCGAGUGAAGCGAUCUUAACAAUACCGCGGACUAGUUUAUUGAUGUACGUAUAAUAAAUUUGAAAAUUCAAUCAAGAAUCUUAAGUACUCUUAUAAAAAAAGACAUUAACAAUUACAUUGAACGUUAUUUGUGCAAUUAGCAAAAUCCUGAUGACAAAUCAUCAUUGACUACGUGCAAAAAGUUAUACCUACUCAGUUUUUUACAAAAACGUUAGUAGUCAUACCUAAUAGUAAAAAUGUCGAAAUCGUUAAAAAAAUAGCACAUAGCAAAUAUUGGGCUGACGACGUCGAUUUGCCAAAAGAAUUAAAAUUUUAGGAAACAAUUAAACAAAACACUGCAGAUUAAAAAUAAACUGAUUUGUCAUGCUCUGAAAUUAACGACAUUCAAGUUUUGUUUUGCGAGUGGAUAAGCUGAAAAUAGCGCAGAAUCGGAGCUGUAAAAGCAUCCGGUGGUCGUGCGGUGAAACUUAAUGCGGCUCUAGAUUCCAAUUGCUUCAUCUAUCUUUCUGAACUUUAUUAUAUUUUGGAAUGAUUUUCUAAUUUAUUGGAUACAUUUAAAACGCGUUCCAAACAUAUAUUCAAAAGGGAGCUUCUUUUAAUGGAUUAGUAGAUAUGGAGUAGAAACCAAUACAUAAACUGCAAACUCAAUUAUAAAUCCACUGGAGUCCCAUCCGUCUCUUGCGGUCACGUGAGCUCCAAUAUUGAGGAGGCUCACAUUGAUCGAAGUUCAAAGUAACUUUGUACAAAAUUGUGGGGCUCAAAUUGAAAGAUAUUGCCGGCCCACCUAAUGUAAUUUUAUAGGUGAAUCCCACAUAAUAUGUUUUAUUGGCACCGUUUCCUACAAAGGGAGAAAUGAAAACGACCGCAAAAUCAAAAAAGUUGAAACAUUUAUAAAGUUUGAGUAAUUUAGAAACUUAUACGUACACACAAUAAGCUUCACAUAGCAUACAAAGUUAUUAUAUUAGUCCAUUAGUUAAAUAAGGUAAGAUUUCUCUCCCUAUCUUGGCGAGUUGUUUAUCAUACGAACGCCUACUUUAGGGACUCACACCGUACAAUAUAUUGUGGUUAAGUCAUUUAAUUUCGUACUAGCUAUGAAUCUUCAUUUAGGUAAUUUGAAUCUUAUAAAGUAGUUGUUUAGUGAGACAGAAAUUUAUUGCUUCUUGCAUCACACGUACUCAGGAAAUUUAUGGACACUCGUGAUUAAUAAUUUCUAACAUUAACACUGCUGUCCCGUAACAAAUGAUUGAUAUUGUAUUUACAAAGUUUUAAGUGAAGAGUCUCGGUGCGUUGUUUAGUAUCUGUAAACAAUAAAACUGAUAAAAAGUGAUAUCACGCCACAUUGAGUCAUUAGAAAACACUAAGCCGUUGGGCUGUAAAUCAAUGCGCCCACGCAACCUCACCGCAAACUCUGUUUUGUUUAUAGCGACCCAAUGGGCUGUAGAUACGAAGUCCUUAUUCGUUUUUGGUCAUUUUUUGGUCUUUGAAUCGUUUCCUUGGACAAUAUUUGAAAACAUCGAAUCACCCGCCGCUUAAAGUCUAUAAUGUUGACGGUUGAGUACAACUGGUCAUCCUUUAUUUAGUUUCAGAGUUUCAGUCUUUGAAUUUAUUACUCUUUUUUUUUUAAUGGCUACGAACAUAUGACUAUUUGGCGCACCUGAUGAUAAGUGGUUACCGUGGCUCAUGGACAUCAUCAAUGCCAGGGGCACAGCCAAGUUGCUGCCCAUCAUUGCGUACUCUCCGCAGAGCCUCGUUUGAAGAAGAAUAUGUCAUAGCGCUCGGUAAGCAGCGUAGAGGGGAGUUUAUUCCAAAACCACAUAGUAUGUAUCAGAAAAGAUCUUUGAAAACGUGAUACACAAUAAAAAGUUAUUCUCUUAACCUUGUUAAAAUGAUAUGUAAAUAUUAUCGCCUAUAUCGAGACAUAGAGACGAAAACUCAAUUGUAUUGCAUAACCGUUUCACACUUUAAAACACACUUGGCAGAAACAAACAGGAUUGUCAUAGAUAUGUUCCCGCCCGUGGUCACGAAACACCCUAGGUCUUGAUUAAUACUUUGACGAUUACAGUUUUCUGGUAUUUAUAGUUUGAUAAUACUACUACCCGUUGAACCAAUGAGCUUCCUGACAAUUUCUGUAUUCUAUUGGUCUCAUUUCUGUAGUCUUAUAGAUGAACGUUUUUAGCGGUAAUGCGAGAGUUAUUUUGUUAAAUUAAGUGUUUCAUCAUGUGCAGUAUGGACUGUAGUAUGAAUUAUGGACUGAUAGAAGACUAACAGAUCGCAGCCCAGUCAAAUGGUUCGAUAAACUUCGCUCAACACCAAGGGUGCUCUUCAUGAAGCCAAGGACAGGUGCAGAUGGAGAAACAUCAACAAAGAUAAAUUAAUCUUUCAUCGGAGAAUUUACUACCCUCAGUAAUCAGGAAGAUAACAUAAUUAAGGAAGGAAUUAACUGAUUAGCAUGUGUGAUGGAACUGCAUAAGUAGGAGAACGAUACAAAAAUCGCUGGAUGUUGCUCCUCAAGGCUUUAUUUAUUUUACAAAGUAUGUAAAUAAAUAUGAAGAUUUGAUUAAAUUGAACAUGACAAUAAAGUCGUUGCAUGAAGCCGAUUUCGAUAGUGAAAAAAAAGAAGAAAGCACUGUAGAUCCCGAGUUCAUUGCUUGUCCUUCAAAAAACCUUAAUAGAAAGCUGCAGUGGUGAAGACCUUGAAUCCAGAAGUUCUAAGUACGAAAACAUUUCCCUCGUAUAUCUUUGAACAUUCAACAAGACGUAGUGUCAAUAAAAGACGAAACUUGGCAGAAAAUCGGUCGUAUAAAUUAUUUAAUGGACUCAAAGACACUUAAACUGGGAUACCAGAGUUGGGUGGCCCGAUGGUACGGCAGCAAAGUAGUCCGACUCGUAUUUAUCACUUCACAGCUGUGCAUCUAUGAUGGAUUUUAUUCAAGAUGGCCGCCGGCGUGCCCUAUACAUGGGUCGCGAGCACCUUCUCUGAUGUUAUUAGGGCACGUCAAUCUCACGAAUCAUCAUAAUAAUCGAAAUUUAGAUUACACUAGUUUUCAAA
Bombyx mori (domestic silkworm) is the source of this 12899-nucleotide long non-coding RNA. RefSeq lists it as uncharacterized. The transcript has 6 exons. NCBI's taxonomy places the organism in Eukaryota, Metazoa, Arthropoda, Insecta, Lepidoptera, Bombycidae. The record is from RefSeq and is a predicted model, not a curated record.